GAUGAAGAACGUAGCGAAAUGCGAUAAGUAAUGUGAAUUGCAGAAUUCAGUGAAUCAUCGAAUCUUUGAACGCACAUUGCGCCCAUUAGUAUUCUAGUGGGCAUGCCUGUUCGAGCGUCAUUUCAACCCUUAAGCCUAGCUUAGUGUUGGGAAUCUGCUGUAUUGCAGUUCCUCAAAUACAACGGCGGAUCUGUAACAUCCUCUGAGCGUAGUAAAUUUUUAUCUCGCUUUUGUUAGGUGUUGCAGCUCUCAGCCGCUAAACCCCCCAAUUUUUGUGGUUGACCUCGGAUCAGGUAGGAACACCCGCUGAACUUAAGCAUAUCAAUAAGCGGAGGA
Molecule: unclassified non-coding RNA, 336 nt
Filed under: soil metagenome
Description: partial contains 5.8S ribosomal RNA, internal transcribed spacer 2, and large subunit ribosomal RNA
Rfam family: 5.8S ribosomal RNA (bases 1-120)
Source: RNAcentral